UCUUGUCCAUGCCACCCUGAACAAGCCUGAUCCUGUCUGGAAGCUAAGCAGGGUUGGGUCUGGUUAGUACUUGGAUGGGAGACCACCUAGGAAGACCAGGUGCUGUAGGGA
RNAcentral lists this ribosomal RNA (111 nucleotides) under Pteropus alecto (black flying fox). Lineage: Eukaryota; Metazoa; Chordata; Mammalia; Chiroptera; Pteropodidae. The record is from RNAcentral.